GGGAAUAUUCGUACGACGGCGCAGCCAUGUGUGGGCCCCAUAACGGAAAGCGAUUGGAGGAAGAAAACGACAAAUAUAAGUUGUUUAAAAAUAACGACGUAGUUGUUACCGUUUACACUGUUGGAAUACCCGGUGGUUAAAACACAGUAAUACGCGUUGUUGCACAGUAGCACACGGUAUUGCACCAAUUAUUGACUCUUACGUAAGAAGGCACUACUCAAUAAUGGUUACAGUAAUUACUGUUCAGUAUUUUAUUUUAUUGAUUCAAUAAUUGCUGCGUUGAUAUUUUAUAUUGCUGUUGUUUCAAUAAUUGUCAUUACACAGUAUUUUUCAUUAUCGAAGCAAUAAUUCAUAUUAUCUGAAUAAUAUUAUUAGAUAACAUUAUUG
This 387-nucleotide long non-coding RNA is filed under the name Panax ginseng (ginseng). Its description in RNAcentral is "long non-coding RNA (PGIN_LNC009776)". Lineage: Eukaryota; Viridiplantae; Streptophyta; Magnoliopsida; Apiales; Araliaceae. The record is from RNAcentral.